GGGAACUCAGCGAGCAAUGUUCCAGCUGCCCCUGCAUUCUUCACCUCCCAUUGUCUUCUGUCUCUUUGCCCCCACUCCCACCACCAAAGUCAGGAGUCCUGAACCCAUGAUUACCUGAUACCUGCAAGCAACCAGGUGUUCCUUUCAGAAACCAGCAGCCGAUAACCCAGGCAUUUGGAUUCAACCCCAGCCCAUGUUCUUUGCAGCGGAGGACUUAGGAAGGAGAUUCUCCCCACUGGCAGGAAACUCAAUGAAAAAAAAAAUUCCUAAAGAAUUUAAAGACAAUAAACCUGUGAGCCUGGGCCCUGGACCUGUGGUUUUUACCUGCAAAUUGUUUCCUGCACCUCCAAAGAAGCAGCAAUACUGGUGGGCAGCAGAUCUCAGCUUCAAACACAGGCAGAUGACCCGCACUGUGCCCACAGGCAACGAGAAUGCGCAUCCCGAUCUCCAUCUUGGAGACACCCCAACUCAUAGCACAUCUCAUCUCUCAGCACCCGCACUCCACUCUUGAGUGCAUCCGAAAGUCCAUCCAGCGACAUGUAACCCAACAUGUCCUGAAAAUUCUUUUUCUGCAACACAAGUCAGUGAACCUACAAAUCUAUUCUACAAGAGGGGAUAGCUUCCUUAUUUCAGCCUUGGUGGCCCUUAGAGAUGACAGGCUCAUUUGAUGAACUCACCCAUAAUAAGCUAUAACCUUCAUGGUUACCCUGUGAAGGGCUGUUACACCAGGGAAGGGAAUAAAAUUUGUAUGGUGCAUGCUGGUGUUGAGUGGUAAAUUUGGAGAAAUAGGGGUGAGAAGAUGUCUCCUACAGCAUGACAGAAACUUGGAUCCUGUGAAGGCCCUGUGGCUGCCUGACUCUGGGCAAAUCAGCUAAAUUCUUUGGGGCUUCUUUUGUGGAAUGGCAUAAUAGACCCAGUUUCUCAACAUGGGUUAGGAUGAAAAUAGGUAAAGUUCAUUAAAC
RNAcentral lists this long non-coding RNA (962 nucleotides) under Chinchilla lanigera (long-tailed chinchilla). Its description in RNAcentral is "lncRNA (ENSCLAG00000022895.1)". The record is from RNAcentral. Lineage: Eukaryota; Metazoa; Chordata; Mammalia; Rodentia; Chinchillidae.